Hermetia illucens (black soldier fly) is the source of this 841-nucleotide long non-coding RNA. RefSeq lists it as uncharacterized. The transcript has 3 exons. Lineage: Eukaryota; Metazoa; Arthropoda; Insecta; Diptera; Stratiomyidae. The record is from RefSeq and is a predicted model, not a curated record.
UGUACAUUCAAGCUGCGUGCGGUCCUCAACUUCUCUUGUCUUUUAACUCCUUUUUAAAGUUUUGUGUAAAACACAACUUUACUAAAGCCGAUUUAUUAUCCGAAUAUCUGUCACAUGCAACUCAUUCGAAAACGGUUAUAUCGGUUAUAAAUACAAAAUGCCGAAUCUAUGCAAACGUCUGAACGAUUUUGCAAUAAUAAGAAUCCUUCAUGUAGGGUACAAUAUUAGAAAGCUAUGGUACAAAAUUUCCAUAACGAUGAGUAGUUUAACAGGUUUAACCAAGGGUUUCAACCAUAUAACAAAGAAGGCAGGAUUCACCGUAAGCAGAAGCAAAAAGAAGCUUUAGACACCACAGAUGAUUGCAAUCGACGAUUCAGGGUGUGAUGAUCCAACGCCGAGUUAUGAGGGGUAUCGUAAUUCAACUUUUCCGCAACGCUCCAGAGUUAUUGCUGCCAUUGCCGUAUUUUUUAAUAUGAAAAUUUAACAGAAUAUUGUUCAAAUGUCACUAUAAUGUACCAUUGGUUUUUAAAAAUAAAUUGAAAUUAUUUCAUAAAAAAGUGCCUACUUCCCCCUUAAAAACACAGGGCACAGAAGAGCAGAGGAGGAAUGCAAGUUUUCGGUAACGAAGGUGGUGGUGGUGGGUGCAUCAUGCCCGCUUUAGGGGAUACUGGCCACCAUAUAUUUGUUACUUUACACCAGUUUUCUAAAAAAAAUAAAUAAUAUAUCCAGACCUCCCCAUGCAUAGGGAGCCCCCUUAAAUAAACUCAACCCAAAAUCAUGCCACUCACUGCAUGGUAAAGGGAUUCACAGACCACAGAUUAAAUUGCUAAAUUGCGUGACA